UUUUGGAGGGGGCCAGUCUGGUGCCAGCAGCCGCGGUAAUUCCAGCUCCAAUAGCGUAUAUUAAAGUUGUUGCAGUUAAAAAGCUCGUAGUUGAAUUUCGGGAUUUGUCAGUUGGUCGGGCUUCACUGUCCGUACUGGCUUGAUGGAUUCUUACCUUCUGAAUAACCAGCAUGCUAUUAAGUUAGUGCGUUGGGGAAGCAGAUCUAUUACCUUGAAAAAAUUAGAGUGCUUAAAGCGGGCUUGUGCUUGAAUAGAUUAGCAUGGAAUAAUAAAAUAGGACGGCAUGGUUCUAUUUUGUUGGUUUCUAGGAUCACCGUAAUGAUUAAUAGGGAUAGUUGGGGGCAUUAGUAUUCAAUUGUCAGAGGUGAAAUUCUUGGAUUUAUUGAAGACUAACUUCUGCGAAAGCAUUUGCCAAGGAUGUUUUCAUUAAUCAAGAACGAAAGUUAGGGGAUCGAAGACGAUCAGAUACCGUCGUAGUCUUAACCAUAAACUAUGCCGACUAGGAAUCGGACGAAGGUUUAUU
Molecule: ribosomal RNA, 523 nt
Filed under: Acaulospora longula
Lineage: Eukaryota; Fungi; Glomeromycota; Glomeromycetes; Diversisporales; Acaulosporaceae
Description: SSU rRNA
Rfam family: Eukaryotic small subunit ribosomal RNA
Source: RNAcentral